AAAAGGCAGCGGAAAAACAAAAGCUUCGAUCCAGCUAAAUGGUGGUCCAAUCAUGGGUCAAGUGCACCAAAUCUCAGGAUAUUGGUGAUGCGGAUUUUGAGUUUGACAUGCAGCACCUCCGCUUGUGAGAGAAAUUUUAGUGUUUUCCAGCAGAUUCACACAAAGAGACGCAAUAGGCUACUUCAUAAAAAAAUGAGUGACCUUGUGUUUAUCAAGUUCAACUCCAAACUCAAAAAGAAAAGAGGGAUGAGAAACAGGGACCCGAUUGUGGACCACACAUUUGUAGAUGUUGUAGAAGAUGAAUAUAAUGAGUGGAUCACAUGUGUUGUGCAUGGUGAAGGAGUUCAA
RNAcentral lists this ribosomal RNA (348 nucleotides) under Triticum aestivum (bread wheat). RNAcentral describes it as "partial small subunit ribosomal RNA". The record is from RNAcentral. Lineage: Eukaryota; Viridiplantae; Streptophyta; Magnoliopsida; Poales; Poaceae.